GUGAAUCCCAAUCAUCAAAUGUUGCAGUCAUGUGAAUUAUCACAAGGGAAAUGCCAAUUUGGAAUAAAUGAAUGAUAUAGUAGAAUUUCCUAUCUUUGGUUCUCUUACUGGACUUUAUUCUGCACCAUCCAUGUAAUGAUUAUAAACCUUGGUCUUAAAUUUUAUAAGGAUUCAAGAUGUAUUCUUUCUUAUUGUAGUGAUUGUGACACUUCUCCGACCAAUUGCAAUUAACGGAAUUUUGCAUUUCAUGUAGCAUAAAAAACUGAAUCUUUCUCUCUUUUCUUUUCCCCUUUAACACCAUAUUCAUUCUGCUUUGAACCUUAAAAAAGACGGUUGCAGUGUGCGAAACUAUGGCUUAACCAUUAAUCCAGUCAUUAGUUGAUUAUGCUUUUUUUCCGUCCUAUCUUUUUGAUGAAGGACCAAAUGAUGCACCACUCGGGUAUCGGGCCUGCUCCUUUCGAGGCUUUUGUGAGAGUUCCAAAGUACAAGGUAUCGGCCCUCGUACUCAAAUUUAUUGUACAAGUUUUCUGUGCAGUGAGCGGGUGCUUGGUAAUCAAGAGGAUCUGGCCAAGGAAACUGUCGCUGAACUGCAGCCAGAGAAUGGUGAGGAAUGGUGAACAUAUGUGUGUUUGGGAUCCUCUGAUCCUCAUCCCAAUUCGCAUAUUGGGAUGUGUUACUGAACACCUUUCUGUCUUUUGGCGUGUAUGGAAAGAAGGCGGAACAGGUUUUUUGUACUGGGGUGCCAACUGCUAUGAGAGGGCUAAUAUUCAUAGUUUCUCAUUCAUUCAUAAAUUAGAACAGUUAUAAAUCCUUGCUUUCCUUUUCUUUUUUUAUGACAAUGAAAUGUUUGCCUGCGAGCAGAUAAGAUUUUGGCGUUGCCUACUGCCAAGUGAUGGAUUUUGGUUAUAAAUCCUUGCUUCUUUGUUUUUUUUCUCUGGCAAUGAAAUGUUUGCCUGUAAGCAGAUCAGCUUCAGGUACUCUCCAGGCUAGGUGUUCUCAUCUUCCCGUCAGCCAGUUGAUUCUAUUAUGCUAGAGCGCACACUUGGUGGUUUGCGGGACUUUUCGAGUACUGCAGAUCUGUACUUCGAGAUAUGGAAGGGAUGAAGGGCUUGCUCUUCUGGAAAAGACAGGCAUGUAUCUAGGUCCAGAGCGUUAUACGCUAGAGCACAUGCCAAUAUAUAGAUGUCAUGCGGGGUGAGAUCUUCAACGCAUGCCGAUCAUAAAUAUUGGCAGUGCUCCAUGCAUUGAGUAUAUUGUUUUUGUAAUUAUCCAUGGAAACUUUUUGUACUGUAAAGAUGAAAUGGUUUGUCCAACUGCAUGAACUGCUUUACUGGUGGUGCUGAGGCAAAGUAAUUCUGGACGAGAAUAUAACGGUACAUUCAAAGAACCAUUGCUAGGAUUCUCCUGGCAUGCAUGACGUUAGCCUAUCAGCACCUGGCAUUACCCUUCCAAGUGGCCAGAGAAGGCAAUGCCUGCGGCAUGACGUCUGACCUUCAACGUGUAAUCCGUGUGUUUCAGAGAUUCUUUUGGGAUAUUUGAGAUGAGGCUUAAAAGAAAUUUCUGAUGCCGUGCCCGAUUAACACUUAAAAACCCCAUUUCACCUCGGUUGGAAAUUAUCAAAGUUACGCAAUCAACUCCAUGUACUGGAAUCGGAAUAGCAAGAGUGGGGCAAGCCUUUUUAUAAAGGAGAAAAGGUAUGGAGGGAGGGAUGAAACCAUCAAGGUUAAAGGUGUGCCUGCUGGAAUCGGAAAAGCAACCUCAAGAUAAUCAAACUGGCUAUCAUUACUUCGUGGACCUGUCACCCUUCUCUGCUUUUUGUUUUGUGCUUUGCUCGCUGACUUGUAGUCUUAUUCUUUAUUCCCUUUGGUCCAUCAACUUUGUUAGUAAACAGGUUUUAGAAAUGUGUAGUGUAGUGUGUGUGUUCUCAGAUUCCCCUCAGUACUGCCAAGCUUGUUAAGAGUAGCAGAUUGCUUUGAAAUUGAAUUAGUAAAGGGUGUUUUCUAAUCUA
Long non-coding RNA from Populus nigra (black poplar), 2008 nucleotides. RefSeq lists it as uncharacterized. The record is from RefSeq and is a predicted model, not a curated record. NCBI's taxonomy places the organism in Eukaryota, Viridiplantae, Streptophyta, Magnoliopsida, Malpighiales, Salicaceae. The transcript has 5 exons.